ACUUAAUAUUCAGGGUUAUACAUCCUAUAGAAAGGACAGGCAGGUGGGCAGAGGAGGGGGGGUAGCUCUGCUGGUGAGGUGAUGGAAUUCGGUCCCUUGCGAGUGAAGACAUAGGGACUGACGACGUAGUGUCACUGUGGAUUGAGUUGAGGAAUUGUAAAGGCAAGAAGACACUAAUUGGUGGUACACAAAAAGCUGGAGUAACUCAGUGGG
Long non-coding RNA from Amblyraja radiata (thorny skate), 213 nucleotides. RefSeq lists it as uncharacterized. The record is from RefSeq and is a predicted model, not a curated record. Lineage: Eukaryota; Metazoa; Chordata; Chondrichthyes; Rajiformes; Rajidae. The transcript is spliced from 3 exons.